CGCCGUUUGUCUGCGUCGUUCGUCACCACUUGGCUGCCCUAUUCCAAGCUUGUCGAUGAUGCGGGCACUACUUGAGUACUGCAGGGGAGACUGUACUUCCUGGUGUAGCGGUGAAAUGCGCAGAUAUCGAGAGGAACACCGGUGGCGGACGCCGGUCUCUGGGCCGUAACUGACGCUGAGGAGCGAAAGCGUGAGUAGCGAACAGGAUUCGAUACCCUGGCAGUCCACGCCGUAAACGGCGGGCGCUAGGUGUGGGUUUCCUUCCACUGGAUCCGCGCCGUACCUAACGCAUUAACCGCCCCGCCUGGGGAGUACGGCCACUAGGCCAAAACUCAAAUGAAUUGACGCCGCCCCGCACAAGCGGCGGAGCAUGUGGAUUAAUUCCACGCAACGCGAAGAACCUUACCUGGGUUUGACAUAUACCGGAAAGACGUAGAGAUACGGCCCCCCUUGUGGUCAGUAUACAGGUGGUGCAUGGCUGUCAUCUGCUCGUGUCGUGAGAUGUUGGGUUAAGUCCCGCAACGACCGCCACCUUUGUUCUGUGCUGCCAGCGCGUAAUGGCGGCUACUCGGAGGAGACUGCCGGGGUCAACUCGGAGGAAGGUGGGGACGACAUCAAGUCAUCAUCGCCCCCUUACGUCCACGGCUUCACACAUGCUACAAUGGCCGGUACAGAGGGCUGCAAUACCGUGAGGUGCAGCGAAUCCCUUAAAGCCGGUCUCAGUUCGGAUCGCGGCCUGCCACUCGACCCCGUGAAGUUCUGAUCCCCUUAUAAUCGCAGAUCAGCAACGCUGCCGUGAAUACGUUUCCCCGCCCCUCCCACCCCGCCCGUCAUGUCAUGAAUGUGCGUAACCCCCAAAACCGGUGGCCUAACCCUUGUUGAUGGAGUCCUCCAAGGGG
This 899-nucleotide ribosomal RNA is filed under the name Rhodococcus sp. BRILB51. RNAcentral describes it as "bacterial SSU rRNA". It matches the Rfam family "Bacterial small subunit ribosomal RNA", at positions 574 to 1464 of the family's 1533-position model. The record is from RNAcentral. Lineage: Bacteria; Bacillati; Actinomycetota; Actinomycetes; Mycobacteriales; Nocardiaceae.